RNAcentral lists this long non-coding RNA (1175 nucleotides) under Sorghum bicolor (sorghum). Its description in RNAcentral is "long non-coding RNA (SBIC_LNC009230)". Lineage: Eukaryota; Viridiplantae; Streptophyta; Magnoliopsida; Poales; Poaceae. The record is from RNAcentral.
AGUAGCCGUUGGGCAGGACCCUUUAGCACCGGUUCGUGUUACAAACUGGUGCUAAAGGGGUCUUUAACCCCGGGCCGCAAAAAGACCGAGGUUUUUGGCUAUUUUGGACAUCGACCAAUACCUCAUUCCGUAGUGAUGGUGUUUUGCCAUGGGGGUGAGCACCAUGAUGACAACUAAGCAGCAGUGUUGUCCGAUAGGCUUGGCAGGCUCCACAACAAGCAGCGGCGAUGGGCUCAGCGAUUGGGCUCAAGAAUGGGCUUGGGCUUGCCUUUGGGCAUUUUGCUUUUUUUUUUUGUUUUUCUAAUAUCAUUUACAGUGGUGGGUGUCCCAACCGCCUCUAAAGAUUGAUCAAUAGAGGUGUGUGCUGUUGGAGGUGGAGGCGUUGCCCGCUUAUGUAAAUGUUUUUGACCAUCCAUGGAAUGAUGGAAACGCUUAUAUUAGUAGUGCUUGCCAUCCCCUUUCAUGUGAAACAGGACCACAAACCAUUCAGUUAGGCGAUGGAAGGAAGGUUUGUCUCCAUUCCAAGGUAGUGCCGAUGGUGUGCAUAAGGUUGCUGUUGCUCGGCUACUCACGUUCUUCACCAGCAGAGGACAUCUAAGUAUUCCUUGGACGGUAAACUCAUGUAUAUAUCCACCUGUCUCUACAAUUGUGUGUACAUAUAUCAGAUCUACAUGCUUAUGUUAUGAUUAGAUUCAAACAAAUUUCCAUGGCAACCCCUAUGAUCCUUACAGAGGCAAAGUCAACUGAAACAUGGGCAUGUGUUGUGUACGUGCUGAACCGGUCUCUCCUCUGGGUUGGUAUGUAAAGAUCAAAGUCAGCAAGAAUGAUCUAGGACGAUAUCAUCAGAACCGAGCUCCCCGUGAAAUGCAAUCCGCCACUCGGUUUCUAUCAGUGUCGGUGCGAUACUACGAAUUCUUUUGGUGUAUAGAGCAAAGUCAGCAAGAACGAUCAAAGAGUAUGUUUGAAUGGGCUCGUAUGUGAAGGCACCACUCACCAGCAAGAAUUGAUAAUGAUACUCUAGAAAACAACAACUAACUAAUAACUGUAGUCUUUUUGGAGUUUUAGAAACUCUACUCAUGACAUUUUUUUUUAACUAUGGUUUUGUGUCUCUUAGGCUUACAAAACUAAAGUUUUGUAAUAACAUAAUUUCCAAAAACUAUAUCACUCAUACAGGC